This 542-nucleotide ribosomal RNA is filed under the name uncultured bacterium. RNAcentral describes it as "bacterial SSU rRNA". It matches the Rfam family "Bacterial small subunit ribosomal RNA", at positions 777 to 1315 of the family's 1533-position model. The record is from RNAcentral.
AAUAGAUACCCAGGUAGUCCACCCCGUAAACGUUGGGAAACUAGUUGUGGGGUCCUUUCCACGGAUUCCGUGACGCAGCUAACGCAUUAAGUUCCCCGCCUGGGGAGUACGGCCGCAAGGCUAAAACUCAAAGGAAUUGACGGGGACCCGCACAAGCGGCGGAGCAUGCGGAUUAAUUCGAUGCAACGCGAAGAACCUUACCAAGGCUUGACAUACACGAGAACACUCUGGAAACAGGGGACUCUUUGGACACUCGUGAACAGGUGGUGCAUGGUUGUCGUCAGCUCGUGUCGUGAGAUGUUGGGUUAAGUCCCGCAACGAGCGCAACCCUCGUUCUAUGUUGCCAGCACGUCAUGGUGGGAACUCAUGGGAUACUGCCGGGGUCAACUCGGAGGAAGGUGGGGAUGACGUCAAAUCAUCAUGCCCCUUAUGUCUUGGGCUUCACGCAUGCUACAAUGGCCGGUACAAAGGGCUGCAAUACCGUGAGGUGGAGCGAACCCCGAAAAAGCCGGUCCCAGUUCGGAUUGAGGUCUGCAACUCGA